CUUUUCUUCUUCUUCUCCUUAAGUUCCUAAAGCUCUAAUAUUUUUUUCUCUAUUUUUUUCCUAACUUUUCACUCAAUUUUUCUACUUUCUAGACUUAUUCUCAGACUUUCUAUUUAUAAAUAAAUUUUUAAUAUUUUUUUGGUAGAAAAAAGAGUCCUAAAAUCCUUAAAAAAUAUAUUAAAUACUUAAAAAUUUUUCUGACC
This 203-nucleotide long non-coding RNA is filed under the name Elaeis guineensis (African oil palm). RNAcentral describes it as "long non-coding RNA (EGUI_LNC055221)". Lineage: Eukaryota; Viridiplantae; Streptophyta; Magnoliopsida; Arecales; Arecaceae. The record is from RNAcentral.